This 1240-nucleotide ribosomal RNA is filed under the name metagenome. RNAcentral describes it as "bacterial LSU rRNA". It matches the Rfam family "Bacterial large subunit ribosomal RNA", at positions 1564 to 2813 of the family's 2925-position model. The record is from RNAcentral.
UGAAUACGAGACGCUAAGGCGUCGAAGUAGUGUAUGUCAUACUUCCAAGAAAAGCUUGCACUGUCAUAAGUAAAAAAUGCCUGUACCAUAACCGACACAGGUGGGUAGGUAGAGUAUACUAAGGGGCGCGAGAUAACUCUCUCUAAGGAACUCGGCAAAAUAACUCCGUAACUUCGGGAGAAGGAGUACCUUAUUCUAUAAGGUUGCAAUAACAAGAUCCAAGCAACUGUUUAUCAAAAACACAGGUCUCCGCUAAGUCGUAAGACGAUGUAUGGGGGCUGACGCCUGCCCAGUGCCAGAAGGUUAAAGAAGUCGGUUAGCAUUAGCGAAGCUGGUAACUGAAGCCCUGGUGAACGGCGGCCGUAACAAUAACGGUCCUAAGGUAGCGAAAUUCCUUGUCGGGUAAGUUCCGACCCGCACGAAAGGCGUAAUGAUUUGGAUACUGUCUCGGAGAGGGGCUCGGUGAAAUAGACUUGUCUGUGAAGAUGCGGACUACCUGCACCAGGACAGAAAGACCCUAUGAAGCUUUACUGUAACUUGAAAUUGAAAUUGGACUUUAUUCGCGCAGUAUAGGUGGGAGGUGUUGAUUAUAAUCUUGCGGGAUUAUUGGAGCCAUCAGUGAGAUACCACUCUUGUAAUGUUAGAUUUCUAACUUUGAAUCAUUAUCUGGUCAAAGGACAGUUUCAGGCGGGCAGUUUGACUGGGGCGGUCGCCUCCCAAACGGUAACGGAGGCGUACAAAGGUUUCCUCUGAACGGGUAGAAAUCGUAUCUAGAGUGUAAAGGCAUAAGGAAGCUUGACUGUGAGACCUACAAGUCGAACAGGGACGAAAGUCGGUCUUAGUGAUCUGACGGUACUGAGUGGAAAGGCCGUCACUCAACGGAUAAAAGUUACUCUAGGAUAACAGGCUGAUCUCCCCCAAGAGUUCACAUCGACGGGGAGGUUUGGCACCUCGAUGUCGGCUCAUCGCAUCCUGGGGCGGUAGUACGUCCCAAGGGUUGGGCUGUUCGCCCAUGAAAGCGGUACGCGAGCUGGGUUCAGAACGUCGUGAGACAGUUCGGUCCAUAUCCGGUGUAGGCGUUAGAAUAUUGAGAGGAGCCUUCUUUAGUACGAGAGGACCGAGAAGGACAUACCUCUGGUGUACCAGUUAUCGUGCCAACGGUAAACGCUGGGUAGCUAUGUAUGGAGUGGAUAACCGCUGAAAGCAUCUAAGUGGGAAGCCCACCUCAAGAUAAGUAUUC